RNAcentral lists this ribosomal RNA (466 nucleotides) under uncultured bacterium. RNAcentral describes it as "partial 16S ribosomal RNA". It matches the Rfam family "Bacterial small subunit ribosomal RNA", at positions 355 to 813 of the family's 1533-position model. The record is from RNAcentral.
UGGGGAAUUUUGGACAAUGGGCGAAAGCCUGAUCCAGCAAUGCCGCGUGUGUGAAGAAGGCCUUCGGGUUGUAAAGCACUUUUGUCCGGAAAGAAAUCCUUGGCUCUAAUACAGUCGGGGGAUGACGGUACCGGAAGAAUAAGCACCGGCUAACUACGUGCCAGCAGCCGCGGUAAUACGUAGGGUGCAAGCGUUAAUCGGAAUUACUGGGCGUAAGCGUGCGCAGGCGGUUUGCUAAGACCGAUGUGAAAUCCCCGGGCUCAACCUGGGAACUGCAUUGGUGACUGGCAGGCUAGAGUAUGGCAGAGGGGGGUAGAAUUCCACGUGUAGCAGUGAAAUGCGUAGAGAUGUGGAGGAAUACCGAUGGCGAAGGCAGCCCCCUGGGCCAAUACUGACGCUCAUGCACGAAAGCGUGGGGAGCAAAGCAGGAUUAGAUACCCUGGUAGUCCACGCCCUAAACGAUGUC